Molecule: ribosomal RNA, 502 nt
Filed under: uncultured bacterium
Lineage: Bacteria
Description: partial 16S ribosomal RNA
Rfam family: Bacterial small subunit ribosomal RNA
Source: RNAcentral
GACGAACGCUGGCGGCGUGCCUAAUACAUGCGAGUCGAACGAACCGCGACUAGGUGCUUGCACUUGGUCAAGGUGAGUGGCGAACGGGUGAGUAACACGUGGGUAACCUACCUCAUAGUGGGGGAUAACAGUCGGAAACGACUGCUAAUACCGCAUAGGACAUAGGAUCACAUGAUCCAGUGAGGAAAGGUGGCGCAAGCUAUCGCUACGAGAUGGACCCGCGGUGCAUUAGCUAGUUGGUAGGGUAAAGGCCUACCAAGGCGAUGAUGCAUAGCCGACCUGAGAGGGUGAUCGGCCACAUUGGGACUGAGACACGGCCCAAACUCCUACGGGAGGCAGCAGUAGGGAAUCUUCCGCAAUGGACGCAAGUCUGACGGAGCAACGCCGCGUGAGUGAAGAAGGUCUUCGGAUCGUAAAGCUCUGUUGUUAGAGAAGAACAGCGCAUAGAGUAACUGUUAUGCGUGUGACGGUAUCUAAACAGAAAGCCACGGCUAACUACGUG